CCUUUAUUAGCCGAAACAAUAGUUGGAAGUUUGCACUCAGUCUUCUCCUUCCAACAGACAUAGCCUUCAUUAAUAACAAUAUUACAAUGAUAACAAGCCAUGAAACACCAUAAACCAGAAAACUUUUGGUAUUUUUAAUGAUGCUGAGGUGAUACACAAGGCCAUACUGAAAGAUGAAAAAGCGCAAUGCCAACAAUAUCUCCACAAUGAUACCGCGCUUCCCAGAAUAUCGAAGAUGUUCCUGUUCCUUUUCCCACCAGGAUUCCCAACUUUUUUCUGGAGGCACAC
RNAcentral lists this unclassified non-coding RNA (288 nucleotides) under Hevea brasiliensis (rubber tree). The record is from RNAcentral. Lineage: Eukaryota; Viridiplantae; Streptophyta; Magnoliopsida; Malpighiales; Euphorbiaceae.